UUCACCAUAAUGUGACAUAAUAUAUAUUGUUGACAAAGCAACACUAUUAACCGAACUCCGCUCAGAACAAAAUAAAUAAUAAUAAUAAUUAAUAAUAAAUAAUAAUUAUAAUAUAAAGAGAAAAAAAAAUAAUGAUAAUGAUUUAAACUUAUUAACUAAUAAUUUGGUAACUCAUGAUUUCAGUGUUUUGUUUUAGUGUAUUGAUUAAUUUGGUCACAAGUUCGGUUACUUAUUUCUAUAAAAUUGGAAAAAUUCAAAACUGAGUGUUUACAACUGUUUCCAUGCGAUUUUUUAUUAGUUCAGCAUCCGAAAAUGGUUUCAUGCUUUUGGCUAACAAAUGUCUUACUUCAUACGAUACUUUUGUUGCAAUUUCAUUUUUAUUAGUGAACCGUAACAUGGUUGUUUUCAGAAAAAAUUCCUUUUUUUUCAUUCAACUAGUUUUUCUUCUCUUAUUUUAUCUAAAAUAAGAUCUCCCCCUAUCUGGGAGGGGAUAAUUUUUAGAAAAUUCAAUAUUAUGAGUUGUAUAGUGACGAUUAAUAUUAUAACGUUUUAGAAUACUAAAUACUUAUGGUUUUACGACAAAUUAAACAUAAAGCAUCGUGUUUCUUACCAAAAAUACAGAAAAAUUCAAUUUCCCAACUAUUUUGAAAUAUUCUGUGUUCAUUAUCGAUUUUACGUUUUGAACAGCUUACUCACAGAAUUAACUAUUACAACUACAAUACGUAGUAUAAAUAUCAAACGAUAAAAUACAAACGGACAAUAAACGAUGACAGAUAAAUUUUUCAUAUAAGACUACACGAUGGAAAUUAACAAACUCAUAACCGUAUCAUUUAUCUGUUCAACUGGUAAUUCAAUAUAAGUUUAAAAUAGAAAGAUAAAAUAAAUAAAAAUAAUAAGAUAAGUAAAAAAGCGUUGUUUAUUUUAUUCACUGUUUAUAGAAUUUUGGAUUUUAGAAUAGAUAAUUUAAUUUUAGUACGGGUCGCACUAAAUUUGUUAAAGGGCCGCGUGGUGGGGACCGCUGAAUUUUAGUUGAACGUAUAUUUUGUUACAGUGAGCACUCCUUGUCCGUACGGGAGCUCAAUAUUCAGCUACACUGUAUAUUAAGGAUAGUAUUGAGGUCCUCGGGGGGCUUGCGAUACAACCCCAGCUAGUCCCAGCUAGUUUCGAUAUGAUGUUGUUUCACGAUUUUAUUUUGUUUUUAGUUGUUUCUAGGUAUAUUCUAAAAGUUAGGGUCCCGUUGAGUUUAAUACCAAGGUACCUAAAGCAUACUUCAAUUGCAAUAUUGACUUUACCAAUUUUUAGUCAUAGCUCUCUAUUUGCCUCACGGUUGUUCAGAUGCAAGGCCACUGCUGUUGUUUUAUUAGCUUUGUUCAACGUUUACACCGCUGAAAUCGUAGAAACCGAAUCGAGGAAAUUCACUUAUGGCAAACGACAUAGGCCUAGUAGUCCAAAGAAAGUUUUUUGAACAACUAGAAGACAUCUUGAACAAUGAUCUAGUCGUUUUACAAAAUUAUUUCACAAAUUGGUAUCUCAACCUAUAUAGGUUAUUUUCGCGUACAGUUAUUUUCUUCAUUAUUCAAGGGUGCGUGAAAAAUUGACUACCUAAUCAAUAUAAAAUUAUUAUUUAGCGAAAUAUAAUAUAACAAUAUAUUGUAGGUACGAACAAUAAAUAGUGUAUUAUGACUUUGCCCAAAAACUUGGUAAUAUCUAUAGUACCUACCUACUAAUGAUAAACGAUAUCACUUUGGCCGAAGAUGGGCAAGUUUUGGUAAAAAUCUGAGAUUUUAGGUUGAUUUAAUGUUUUAGAUUCCUAAUGGAGAGAGAGAUGUAUUGGUUUUACUAUGAUAAUAUGUGCUUAUUUUUUUUUCAAUUAAUAACUUUUCCACCAGACAUCUCGGCUCUAUAAAAAAAAUAAAAUGAGAGUUUUUGCGUAGAAUAUUUGACCUAGUUGGUGAUCUAGAACAGUGGUUCCCAACCUUAUUGCUAUGGUGACCCACAUAUUUACUAUUUUUUGAAAUGCAACUCACAACAAAAAAAGCUGCCUUAUAAUUUUGGAGUACUGCCACUGUUGUUGGUGGGAAGUUGGGAGUGUA
Molecule: long non-coding RNA, 2093 nt
Filed under: Cinara cedri
Lineage: Eukaryota; Metazoa; Arthropoda; Insecta; Hemiptera; Aphididae
Source: RNAcentral